CCUAAUAGUCUCAGAGGAAGAGACCUUCGAUUCUUCUUCUUCUCUGAGUAAAUUAGUUCUCUCAUUCAUCUUCUUCUCAUCACAGAUUCACAGUAAAUAUCCUUCGAUUCAUCUUCUUCUCAUCACAGUAAAUUAGUUCUCUCAUUCAUUCUUCUUCUCUGAGCAGCAUCAGCAUCAGUAACUGUAGAUCCACGGAUUGGAGAGAAGAAUCUUCAGGAGAACAGUAUUUAAAAUCCUUGGGUAGGUGGUGAAGCUUGUAUUAUCAGUGCUACAAUUGUUUGGCAAUCUGACUAAUCCAUAUUGUUGCGAGUAGAAAGCAUUCCCUUGGUAAGGAGAAUCUGAGAGCAGAUGGCUUCAAGUACUAAGGGACCUUCUAUUCCUGUUGACGAUCCUGAUGAGAGCAUGGCUACAGUUAACCCGGCAACCGUCGAGAGCAUAUCUACAGCUACACCAUCAUCUCUGGUUGAA
Molecule: long non-coding RNA, 468 nt
Organism: Papaver somniferum (opium poppy)
Lineage: Eukaryota; Viridiplantae; Streptophyta; Magnoliopsida; Ranunculales; Papaveraceae
Exons: 4
Source: RefSeq, a predicted model, not a curated record